GAUGAACGCUAGCGGCGUGCCUAAUACAUGCAAGUCGAGCGAACAGACGAGGAGCUUGCUCCUCUGACGUUAGCGGCGGACGGGUGAGUAACACGUGGAUAACCUACCUAUAAGACUGGGAUAACUUCGGGAAACCGGAGCUAAUACCGGAUAAUAUAUUGAACCGCAUGGUUCAAUAGUGAAAGACGGUUUUGCUGUCACUUAUAGAUGGAUCCGCGCCGCAUUAGCUAGUUGGUAAGGUAACGGCUUACCAAGGCAACGAUGCGUAGCCGACCUGAGAGGGUGAUCGGCCACACUGGAACUGAGACACGGUCCAGACUCCUACGGGAGGCAGCAGUAGGGAAUCUUCCGCAAUGGGCGAAAGCUUGACGGAGCAACGCCGCGUGAGUGAUGAAGGUCUUCGGAUCGUAAAACUCUGUUAUUAGGGAAGAACAAAUGUGUAAGUAACUAUGCACGUCUUGACGGUACCUAAUCAGAAAGCCACGGCUAACUACGUG
RNAcentral lists this ribosomal RNA (497 nucleotides) under uncultured bacterium. RNAcentral's name for it is "partial 16S ribosomal RNA". It matches the Rfam family "Bacterial small subunit ribosomal RNA", at positions 28 to 507 of the family's 1533-position model. The record is from RNAcentral.